UUGACCUCGGAUCAGAUAGGGAUACCCGCUGAACUUAAGCAUAUC
RNAcentral lists this ribosomal RNA (45 nucleotides) under Helicomyces roseus. RNAcentral describes it as "partial 28S ribosomal RNA". RNAcentral also lists the same sequence under 6 other names. The record is from RNAcentral. Lineage: Eukaryota; Fungi; Ascomycota; Dothideomycetes; Tubeufiales; Tubeufiaceae.